CCUCCCUUGGCUCCCCUGAGCAUCCUCAGCUGAGCUGCUGGGGUUUGGCCCUUACUGUCCCGUUUGUGCUUCUCUGUCUCCUGAAGGCUCUCAGCGUUGGAAGCCCCUGGCAAGAGCCAGAUGAGUCAGCCGAGGGCACUGUGCUGGCAGCUGCCCCUUCCCCGUGGGGUGACAGCUGGUGUGACCGCCUGGCCAAGUGCCUCCUGGGGGGGCGGCAUCUUCCCUCCAAGGCUCGUCACCAGGCGGCCUGGUGAGUUGUCGGUUUUUGCGUCUAUAGCCCUGACAACCCAGGUGGCAGAACAGACCUGCUGGGGGGUUGCAAGCCUGGAGGGGUCGCUGCUUCUCUGAUUGGACACUUGACUGCCACCUGGCUGCCUAGGUACUUAGAGAUCAGAACAUUGAGCUCUUGGUGGUACAUGGACUAUAUCUCCUUACUAUAGAAAUAUUACACUUUAUAGACGUAAUAGCCAAGACUCUCGUCAUUGCAAGUGACAGAAAACCSAACCCCAAAUGUUUAAAGCAGCAAAAAGGAAUUUAUUGGUUUAAGUCUAAAAACGYGAUGGCUUCAGGCACAGUUUGAUCCAGGGACUCCAGUGCUUUUGUCAGGACGUGCAUAUCUCCAGGUGUUCCUUGUUCUGCACGAGCUUCAUUCUUAGGCUC
This 660-nucleotide long non-coding RNA is filed under the name Urocitellus parryii (Arctic ground squirrel). RNAcentral's name for it is "lncRNA (ENSUPAG00010021989.1)". Lineage: Eukaryota; Metazoa; Chordata; Mammalia; Rodentia; Sciuridae. The record is from RNAcentral.